UGGGGAAUAUUGGGCAAUGGGCGCAAGCCUGACCCAGCAACGCCGCGUGAAGGAUGAAGGUUUUCGGAUCGUAAACUUCUUUGAUCGGGGACGAAAUUGACGGUACCCGAGGAACAAGCCACGGCUAACUACGUGCCAGCAGCCGCGGUAAUACGUAGGUGGCGAGCGUUAUCCGGAUUUACUGGGUGUAAAGGGCGUGUAGGCGGUUUUUCAAGUCGGAUGUGAAAUUCCCGGGCUUAACCCGGGCGCUGCAACCGAAACUGAGAAACUUGAGUACUGGAGAGGACAGCGGAAUUCCUAGUGUAGCGGUAAAAUGCGUAGAUAUUAGGAGGAACACCGGUGGCGAAGGCGGCUGUCUGGACAGUAACUGACGCUGAGGCGCGAAAGCGUGGGGAGCAAACA
This 402-nucleotide ribosomal RNA is filed under the name uncultured prokaryote. RNAcentral's name for it is "bacterial SSU rRNA". It matches the Rfam family "Bacterial small subunit ribosomal RNA", at positions 355 to 774 of the family's 1533-position model. The record is from RNAcentral.